Molecule: small nucleolar RNA, 74 nt
Organism: Pipistrellus kuhlii (Kuhl's pipistrelle)
Lineage: Eukaryota; Metazoa; Chordata; Mammalia; Chiroptera; Vespertilionidae
Product: small nucleolar RNA SNORD107
Exons: 1
Source: RefSeq, a predicted model, not a curated record
GGUUCAUGAUGAUACAGGACCUUGUCUGAACAUCAUGAUCUCAAAAUAUGAGCUAGGAAGUUGUCACUGAAAUC